GCACAAGCGGUGGAGCAUGUGGUUUAAUUCGACGCAACGCGCAGAACCUUACCAGCCCUUGACAUCCCGGUCGCGGACUCCAGAGACGGAGUUCUUCAGUUCGGCUGGACCGGAGACAGGUGCUGCAUGGCUGUCGUCAGCUCGUGUCGUGAGAUGUUGGGUUAAGUCCCGCAACGAGCGCAACCCCCGUCCUUAGUUGCUACCAUUUAGUUGAGCACUCUAAGGAGACUGCCGGUGAUAAGCCGCGAGGAAGGUGGGGAUGACGUCAAGUCCUCAUGGCCCUUACGGGCUGGGCUACACACGUGCUACAAUGGCGGUGACAAUGGGACGCUAAGGGGCAACCCUUCGCAAAUCUCAAAAAGCCGUCUCAGUUCGGAUUGGGCCCUGCAACUCGAGCCCAUGAAGUUGGAAUCGCUAGUAAUCGUGGAUCAGCAUGCCACGGUGAAUACGUUCCCGGGC
Molecule: ribosomal RNA, 459 nt
Filed under: uncultured bacterium
Lineage: Bacteria
Description: bacterial SSU rRNA
Rfam family: Bacterial small subunit ribosomal RNA
Source: RNAcentral